This 46-nucleotide small RNA is filed under the name Sinorhizobium meliloti 2011. Its description in RNAcentral is "putative ncRNA". Lineage: Bacteria; Pseudomonadati; Pseudomonadota; Alphaproteobacteria; Hyphomicrobiales; Rhizobiaceae. The record is from RNAcentral.
CUUGUUCGUGCCGAUGAACACCUCCUGCAGGGGGAGGGCGCACGCA